Molecule: ribosomal RNA, 1461 nt
Filed under: Triticum aestivum (bread wheat)
Lineage: Eukaryota; Viridiplantae; Streptophyta; Magnoliopsida; Poales; Poaceae
Description: partial small subunit ribosomal RNA
Source: RNAcentral
AUGGCAAAAGCCAUAGAAGCCACCGCAAGGUCUUCACCACUCCACGUCGUGGUGUUCCCAUGGCUCGCGUUCGGCCAUAUGAUCCCCUACCUCGAGCUCUCGGAGCAGCUGGCGAGGCGCGGGCACGCCGUCACCUUCGUGUCCGCGCCGAGGAACCUCGCCAGGCUGCGGCCCGUCCCGGAGGACCUCUGGCCCCGCGUCCGCCUCCUCCCCCUGCCGCUGCCCAGCGUCAACGGCCUUCCCUACGGCGCCGAGUCGACGGCCGACGUCCCGCCGGAGAAGGUCGACCUCCUCAAGGUGGCUUUCGACGGCCUCGCCUCCCCUUUCGCCGGCUUUCUUGCCGGAGCCUGCGCCGGCGGGGAGGGUGCGACGGGAUUCGGCAAGAAGCCCGACUGGAUCUUCGUUGACUUCACACACCACUGGCUCCCGCCCAUAGCUGAGCAGCACAAGGUACCGUGCGCCUUGUUCUCCAUCUUCCCGGCGGCGUUCAUCGCCUUCCUCGGCCCCAAGACGGCGAACGACGAGCACCCGCGGACGACGGCGGAGGACUUCAUGGGCCAGCCGCCGUGGAUCCCGUUCCCGACCCACAUCGUCCACCGUCUCCACGAGGCCGAGCAGUUCGUCCAGCUGCAUUUACGCCCCAACGCCGCCGGCCCAUCCGACUGCUGCCGCUUCUGGGAGACGGAGCAGCACUGCCCACUCGUCAUCGUGCGCAGCUGCCGCGAGGUCGACGGCCCGCUCUGCCCCCUCCUCACUGACCUCUUCGGCAAGCCUGUGGCCCCGUCCGGCCUCCUCGCUCCAUACGACGCCGCCCAAGAAGCUGUUGCCGACCGUACCGGCGGCGGCGAGGAUGAGGACAAGGCGAGCGCGCGUCUCAUGCGCUGGCUGGACGAGCAGCCGGCGAGGUCAGUGAUCUACGUCGCGUUCGGGAGCGAGGCGCCGCUGACCCCCGAGCAGGUCCGCCAGCUCGCAGUCGGGCUGGAGCUGUCGGGCGCUCGGUUUCUCUGGGCGCUGCGGGAACCGAGCGGCCUCCUGAUCCCCGACGGGUUCGAGGAGCGCGUGUCCGGGCGCGGCCUGGUGCGCGUGGGGUGGGUGCCGCAGGUGCGCGUCCUCGCGCACAGCGCCGUGGGUGCGUUCCUGACGCACACUGGGUGGAGCUCGCUCAUGGAGAGCUUCCUGUUCGGCCACCCGCUCGUCAUGCUACCUCUGUUCGCCGACCAAUGCGUCACGGCGCGAGCCAUGGCGGCGAGGGCGGUCGGCCUGGAGGUGCCCAGGGACGAGCGCGACGGGUCGUUCGCCGGGGUCGACGUUGCCGGGACGGUGCGGCGGGUGAUGGCGGAGGGCGAGGAAGGGAAGACCCUCGCCCGCAAUGCCAGGGCGUUCCAGGAGAUUCUCUGCAACAGGGCGAAGCAGGACGAGUACGUCGACGAGCUGGUUGAGCACUUGCUGCGACUGCAAUAG